CAGCAGUGGGGAAUUUUGGACAAUGGGGGCAACCCUGAUCCAGCAAUGCCGCGUGAGUGAAGAAGGCCUUCGGGUUGUAAAGCUCUUUUGUCAGGGAAGAAACACCGGCUCUAACACAGUCCGGGAAUGACGGUACCUGAAGAAUAAGCACCGGCUAACUACGUG
This 165-nucleotide ribosomal RNA is filed under the name uncultured bacterium. Its description in RNAcentral is "partial 16S ribosomal RNA". It matches the Rfam family "Bacterial small subunit ribosomal RNA", at positions 349 to 507 of the family's 1533-position model. The record is from RNAcentral.